UUAAUUGAAGAGUUUGAUCAUGGCUCAGAUUGAACGCUGGCGGCAGGCCUAACACAUGCAAGUCGGGCGGUAACAGGGGGAAGCUUGCUUCUCUGCUGACGAGCGGCGGACGGGUGAGUAAUGUAUGGGGAUCUGCCUGAUGGCGGGGGAUAACUACUGGAAACGGUAGCUAAUACCGCAUAAUGUCUUCGGACCAAAGCGGGGGA
This 206-nucleotide ribosomal RNA is filed under the name Morganella morganii. Its description in RNAcentral is "partial 16S ribosomal RNA". It matches the Rfam family "Bacterial small subunit ribosomal RNA", at positions 1 to 200 of the family's 1533-position model. Lineage: Bacteria; Pseudomonadati; Pseudomonadota; Gammaproteobacteria; Enterobacterales; Morganellaceae. The record is from RNAcentral.